GAUGAACGCUGGCGGCGUGCCUAAUACAUGCAAGUCGAGCGAACAGACGAGGAGCUUGCUCCUUUGACGUUAGCGGCGGACGGGUGAGUAACACGUAGGUAACCUACCUAUAAGACUGGGAUAACUUCGGGAAACCGGAGCUAAUACCGGAUAAUAUUUCGAACCGCAUGGUUCGAUAGUGAAAGAUGGCUUUGCUAUCACUUAUAGAUGGACCUGCGCCGUAUUAGCUAGUUGGUAAGGUAACGGCUUACCAAGGCAACGAUACGUAGCCGACCUGAGAGGGUGAUCGGCCACACUGGAACAGAGACACGGUCCAGACUCCUACGGGAGGCAGCAGUAGGGAAUCUUCCGCAAUGGGCGAAAGCCUGACGGAGCAACGCCGCGUGAGUGAUGAAGGUCUUCGGAUCGUAAAACUCUGUUAUUAGGGAAGAACAAACGUGUAAGUAACUGUGCACGUCUUGACGGUACCUAAUCAGAAAGCCACGGCUAACUACGUG
This 497-nucleotide ribosomal RNA is filed under the name uncultured bacterium. RNAcentral describes it as "partial 16S ribosomal RNA". It matches the Rfam family "Bacterial small subunit ribosomal RNA", at positions 28 to 507 of the family's 1533-position model. The record is from RNAcentral.